UAGGGAAUCUUCCGCAAUGGGCGAAAGCCUGACGGAGCAACGCCGCGUGAGUGAUGAAGGUCUUCGGAUCGUAAAACUCUGUUAUUAGGGAAGAACAAAUGUGUAAGUAACUAUGCACGUCUUGACGGUACCUAAUCAGAAAGCCACGGCUAACUACGUGCCAGCAGCCGCGGUAAUACGUAGGUGGCAAGCGUUAUCCGGAAUUAUUGGGCGUAAAGCGCGCGUAGGCGGUUUUUUAAGUCUGAUGUGAAAGCCCACGGCUAAACCGUGGAGGGUCAUUGGAAACUGGAAAACUUGAGUGCAGAAGAGGAAAGUGGAAUUCCAUGUGUGGCGGUGAAAUGCGCAGAGAUAUGGAGGAACACCAGUGGCGAAGGCGACUUUCUGGUCUGUAACUGACGCUAAUGUGCGAAAGCGUGGGGAUCAAACAGG
RNAcentral lists this ribosomal RNA (429 nucleotides) under Actinomycetes bacterium. Its description in RNAcentral is "Actinobacteria bacterium partial 16S ribosomal RNA". It matches the Rfam family "Bacterial small subunit ribosomal RNA", at positions 355 to 776 of the family's 1533-position model. The record is from RNAcentral. Lineage: Bacteria; Bacillati; Actinomycetota; Actinomycetes.